This 76-nucleotide transfer RNA is filed under the name Facklamia sp. 252. Its description in RNAcentral is "tRNA-Val". It matches the Rfam family "tRNA". Rfam says of the family: Transfer RNA (tRNA) molecules are approximately 80 nucleotides in length. Their secondary structure includes four short double-helical elements and three loops (D, anti-codon, and T loops). Lineage: Bacteria; Bacillati; Bacillota; Bacilli; Lactobacillales; Aerococcaceae. The record is from RNAcentral. RNAcentral also lists the same sequence under 3 other names.
GGAGGUUUAGCUCAGCUGGGAGAGCACCUGCCUUACAAGCAGGGGGUCAGCGGUUCGAACCCGUUAACCUCCACCA